CUGUAAAAAAUUACUCUGGAGGGUGUUAAAUUUAACCCAUGAAAAUUAGUUAUAAUUUAAUUAAGUAUAUAAGCUAGCAAGUAAAAUAAAAAAUAAUGGGUAUAUUCUACCUUCACUAUCCAAUUUUUAACAGUAAUAACUGCAAUACUAAAAAAAUAAGUAACAUAUACCCCAAAAUAUUUGCCUUAGCACCGCAAAGUGCGCAUGAAUCAACAUCCAGGCGUGACUCGAGUCACCAUUUUUCAUAUCAUAUCGGCGGGAGAACUGCGGUUUGUUGACAGCGGAGCUGCUCAAUAUGAGUGGUUGAACUUGAGCAAGCCACGUGACGAGAGAGAGCAGCGGACGGUUGAUGUACGAUACAGACGGGAGGGCGUCGAGCAGACAAACAAACAACGGUAAAGCUGUCGAUGCUAGAUAAUUACUGUAAAAGUUUUCUUGCAUUUAUCUGUUAAUAUAUUGAGUUUUGUUUUAGAAGGGAUCCAUUUAUGAAGCCAUUUUAUUAUUAUUAUUAUCAUUUACGGAUAUAUACUUAACGUUGCCUUUCGCUUUUUAAUGGCUGUUCAAAAAAGUAUUUCGGAGUUCAUAUGUUAUAUAUGUGACUUGUAUAUGAAGUUGAAUCACUUAAAAUUGAAUGUAAGUACUUCUUGUUAGUGUUCAAUGUUUUAUGCAUGUGUACUGUGAGUUAUAGCAUAAUAUGAAGUUGUAUUUUGUGCACUUAAUAAGUUUUAAAUGAUGUUGAAAUGUUUCUUUGUAUCGAUAUAGCAUGCUAGUCUACUGAGGUAAAUGAGAUCAGUUUUUCCUCUCAUAUUAUUGUCUUCUUUAAUUUUCUAAUGAUAACGUGAAGAACAGUAUUUAGGAAUCUUGCUUUUAAUGGUUUUUUAACAUCUCAUGAAGACUUUGGUUUAUUUUUUUUAUGAAAUAAUAUGUUCAAGAAGCUUUAUGUAAAACUAUGAUAUGUUGUAUUUCACUUGAAAUGUAUUGGGGUUAUUUUGUACUUCCAAUAAUUAGUUUUAAAUGUUUACAGAAUGUUAUUUGGUCAAUAAAGCAAGCAAUUUAUGCAA
Molecule: non-coding RNA, 1061 nt
Organism: Misgurnus anguillicaudatus (oriental weatherfish)
Lineage: Eukaryota; Metazoa; Chordata; Actinopteri; Cypriniformes; Cobitidae
Source: RefSeq, a predicted model, not a curated record